AGGCUAGAAAAUUAUGAGCAGCAUUGCUAACUACAGCCUGAGAAUCUUCAGAACCCAAUUUGCUUUCCUCAACCUUCUCGUCAUCAUUCCUAGACUGACUGGGCUCAGAUUCAGAAACAUCUUCAGUGGUGAUCAAUUCUGCCAGGUCCCUCUGCUGAUCCAAAUCCAAAUCAUUAUGAACACCAUUGAUAGCUACAGCCUGAGAAUCUUCAUGUUCUUUUAUGUCAAUGGUCGAAUUCAAUUUGCUUUCCUCCUCAACCUUCUCCUCAUCAUUAUUUGACCGACUUAGCUCAGAUUCAGCAACAUGCACACUUGUGUCUUGCGAUUCCUGAGCUUCUGCCAGGUCCCUCUGCUGAUCCAAAUCCAAAUCAUUAUGAACACCAUUGAUGGCUACAGCCUGAGAAUCUUCAUGUUCUUUUAUGUCAAUGGUCGAAUUCAAUUUGCUUUCCUCCUCAACCAUCUCCUCAUCAUUAUUUGACCGAUUUAGCUCAGAUUCAGCAACAUGCACACUAGUGUCUUGCGAUUCCUGAGCUUCUGCCAGGUCCCUCUGCUGAUCCAAAUCCAAAUCAUUAUGAACACCAUUGAUAGCUACAGCCUGAGAAUCUUCAUGUUCUUCUAUGUCAAUGGUCGAAUUCAAUUUGCUUUCCUCCUCAACCAUCUCCUCAUCAUUAUUUGACCGAUUUAGCUCAGAUUCAGCAACAUGCACACUAGUGUCUUGCGAUUCCUGAGCUUCUGCCAGGUCCCUCUGCUGAUCCAAAUCCAAAUCAUUAUGAACACCAUUGAUAGCUACAGCCCGAGAAUCUUCAUGUUCUUUUAUGUCAAUGGUCGAAUUCAAUUUGCUUUCCUCCUCAACCCUCUCCUCAUCAUUAUUUGACCGAUUUAGCUCAGAUUCAGCAACAUGCACACUAUUGUCUUGCGAUUCCUGAGCUUCUGCCAGGUCCCUCUGCUGAUCCAAAUCCAAAUCAUUAUGAACACCAUUGAUAGCUACAGCCUGAGAAUCUUCAUGUUCUUUUAUGUCAAUGGUCGAAUUCAAUUUGCUUUCCUCCUCAACCAUCACCUCAUCAUUAUUUGACCGAUUUAGCUCAG
RNAcentral lists this long non-coding RNA (1086 nucleotides) under Populus trichocarpa (black cottonwood). RNAcentral describes it as "long non-coding RNA (PTRI_LNC001840)". The record is from RNAcentral. Lineage: Eukaryota; Viridiplantae; Streptophyta; Magnoliopsida; Malpighiales; Salicaceae.